Molecule: unclassified non-coding RNA, 294 nt
Filed under: fungal sp.
Lineage: Eukaryota; Fungi
Description: partial internal transcribed spacer region
Rfam family: Eukaryotic small subunit ribosomal RNA (bases 1-46)
Source: RNAcentral
AAGUCGUAACAAGGUUUCCGUAGGUGAACCUGCGGAAGGAUCAUUAACACGUAUCCAAACGUUAAAACCCCCCCCCCGUGAACCUUCAUGUUUCCCCAAGCAGUCAGUGUCUGAAAGUGUCAUUGAUUGUGCAAGGAUAGCGCUUCUACGAUUCCUGUAGACCGUACACUCGGGCAGGAGCUUUGCCAAAGGGUCCCAUGCCCGCUAAUAACCCCACAGUUUAAUGUGAAAGCUCAAUGUAAUACAUUGGGUAAAAAAACCGAACAACUGUUAACAAUGGAUAUCUUGGUUCUC